Long non-coding RNA from Setaria italica (foxtail millet), 947 nucleotides. RefSeq lists it as uncharacterized. The transcript has 4 exons. Lineage: Eukaryota; Viridiplantae; Streptophyta; Magnoliopsida; Poales; Poaceae. The record is from RefSeq and is a predicted model, not a curated record.
CCCGCCGCCGGCCUUGCAUGCGCUGCCCUACCCGAACGCCUCGCCGCCGCUGGCCAUUCUUCUCCUCUACUCCAAAGGCUGCCAUCAGCCUCGCACGUGCCCCCAUCCUCACACCUCCCGCCUCCAUCCGCCCCCCUGCUCCAUGGCCUCGUAGGCACUGCCCGCCACUCCCACCCUCAUGGCUUCAAACCUCUUUGCAGCCGGACGUUCCCCUCCUCUGCUCCUGGCGGCUGCCGUCCCGAGCUACGGCGCGCGGAUCCAUGGAUGGCAAGCUCCAGCCUGUGGACAUGGUGAGGCGGCCCUUUCCUCCCUCCUAGAACCACCGGAGGCAUGGCGUGCCGGCGGCGGAGUGCCAAUUUGGCGAGGGUGUGCCGAUGCUUCUCAUCAUUCAGGCAGAAAAAGAACGAGAACCACUGCAUGAACACCUUACUCGAAUUUUAUCUACCGAGUGGAUCGGCUUCUCCCAUGAUUGCUGGACCACGGUAAGGAAGUUUGGCAAUUCUCCCAAGUAUGAUUCAAAACAAAAGGUGUUCCUUCUUUGCUGUUGCAGCAUAUACGAGAGUAGGAGAGGAGAGUGAUCUGACAUUGAGGAUGAGAGAGCUUGCAGAAAGCAGUUCGGGUGGCCCAUUUCCCAUUGUUCAGUGUAGAACAGAUGGUCGAUUUUGGUGAAAGUCGGGGUGUCGGUGCCACUGGACCAAGAGAAAUGCCGGCCGUGUAGGUUGGAAUCUCCCAUGACAGUCCAUUGCGGCAGCAUUUCAGCACGCGUGGAUGUUAGCUCUGCCAUGAAUUCCUGCUUGUCAUUGUCCUCCUGCGGUCCAUACACUCCUGUGAGGCUAAAUGUAUUGCCAUUUGCCAUGUUCUUUAUUGUAGCUGACACCAUGUAUUUACCCACGAGAAUGUCCUGCAUUAUAUACUGAUGUAAAGAACAUGCGAUGAUCACUCCCCCA